Molecule: long non-coding RNA, 959 nt
Organism: Herpailurus yagouaroundi (jaguarundi)
Lineage: Eukaryota; Metazoa; Chordata; Mammalia; Carnivora; Felidae
Exons: 3
Source: RefSeq, a predicted model, not a curated record
AAAAGAUUCCCAGAAGGUUCUAAUGUUCGGUUAGGUUGAUAACCACUAUCCUAGGGCAGCUGGGCAACUCUUGAUUAGAAUAGAUUUUCAGCAAAUAUUUGUUUCAAUGAAUGUAUGAAUAAAUAAAUAAAUGAAUGAAUAAAUGAAUGAAUGAACAAACCAACAAGCUAAUAAAUAUCUGGUUAUUAUGGUUGUAGGUGUACCAUUGACUAGGGCCAGAAAAAGUCCUAGGCACGUUUAAAAAAGAAAAAGCAUGCCAGAUGUUCUAAACACUGUAAAUGCUUUCUUAUUAACUCAACAACUCGAUAAGAUCACCGGAGCAUCGCCUGGGUUCCCACUGCCAGGACUCCACCAAGAUCCCCCCGCGGGGCACAGGCUUUAGCUCGCCACCAGCACGCAGCCCUCUCUCCAGCAAACAAACUGCCAAGGAGUCUUUGAGCUCCCUCUUGGGAUCUUCCCUUUAGGAACUCAGCCACCAUGCUGUGAGAAGCCUGGGUCAUGAAGAGGCCACGUGGAGGUGUUCCAGUAGACAGCCCAGCUGAGCUUCUGGCUGAUGGCUAGCAUCCACUGUCAGCGAUGUGAAUAAGAUCUUGGACAUUUCAGACAACUCCAGCUCCCAUGUGAUUGCAAUCCCAGCCAACAUCACACUGGGCAUAAGAACUACCCAGCGGAAUCAAGUCAACCCACACAACUGUGAGAGUUAAUAAAAUGGUUGUUGUUUCAAGUCACUAUGUUUUGGAGGAGUUAGGCUGCAACAGAUAACCCAAACACAAUCUCAGAGAGAACCACUGUUGGUGAUAGCGGCCAGAAGGGGCAAAUGUUGGGGCGCCUGGCUGGCUCAGUCAGAAGAACGUGCAACUCUUGAUCUCAGGGUAGUGAGUUCGAGCCCCACAUGGGGUAUAGAGAUAAAUAAAAAACUUAAAUAAAUAAAAAAACGUAACAACAAUAACAAAAGAAGG